GUUGGGUUGGAUGAGUGGCGAACGGGUGAGUAACACGUGAGUAACCUGCCCUCUUCUUUGGGAUAACGCCCGGAAACGGGUGCUAAUACUGGAUAUUCACUGGCCUUCGCAUGGGGGUUGGUGGAAAGGUUUGUUCUGGUGGGGGAUGGGCUCGCGGCCUAUCAGCUUGUUGGUGGGGUGAUGGCCUACCAAGGCUUUGACGGGUAGCCGGCCUGAGAGGGUGACCGGUCACAUUGGGACUGAGAUACGGCCCAGACUCCUACGGGAGGCAGCAGUGGGGAAUAUUGCACAAUGGGCGAAAGCCUGAUGCAGCGACGCCGCGUGAGGGAUGGAGGCCUUCGGGUUGUAAACCUCUUUCGCUCAUGGUCAAGCCGCAACUGUGGGUUGUGGUGAGGGUAGUGGGUAAAGAAGCGCCGGCUAACUACGUGCCAGCAGCCGCGGUAAUACGUAGGGCGCGAGCGUUGUCCGGAAUUAUUGGGCGUAAAGGGCUUGUAGGCGGUUGGUCGCGUCUGCCGUGAAAUCCUCUGGCUUAACUGGGGGCGUGCGGUGGGUACGGGCUGACUUGAGUGCGGUAGGGGAGACUGGAACUCCUGGUGUAGCGGUGGAAUGCGCAGAUAUCAGGAAGAACACCGGUGGCGAAGGCG
This 644-nucleotide ribosomal RNA is filed under the name uncultured Bacilli bacterium. RNAcentral describes it as "bacterial SSU rRNA". It matches the Rfam family "Bacterial small subunit ribosomal RNA", at positions 81 to 723 of the family's 1533-position model. The record is from RNAcentral. Lineage: Bacteria; Bacillati; Bacillota; Bacilli.